This 483-nucleotide ribosomal RNA is filed under the name uncultured Leptotrichia sp. RNAcentral's name for it is "partial 16S ribosomal RNA". The record is from RNAcentral. Lineage: Bacteria; Fusobacteriati; Fusobacteriota; Fusobacteriia; Fusobacteriales; Leptotrichiaceae.
CACGUAUUUAGCCGUCGCUUCUUCUGCAGGUACCGUCAUUUUUUUCUUCCCUGCUGAAAGCACUUUACAAUCCGAAAACCUUCAUCGUGCACACAGAAUUGCUGGAUCAGGGUUGCCCCCAUUGUCCAAUAUUCCCCACUGCUGCCUCCCGUAGGAGUAAGGGCCGUAUCUCAGUCCCCUUGUGGCCGUCCACCCUCUCAGGCCGGCUACCUAUCAUCGCCUUGGUGAGCCGUUACCCCACCAACAAGCUAAUAGGACGCAAGGCUCUCCUGCAGCAUCUCUUUUCAUCAGGCUGGACAUGAGUCCGCCUGACUUUACCAGGUCUUAUCAGUCGUUUCCGUCUGUUAUCCCUGACUGCAGGGCAAGUUCCUUACGCGUUACUCACCCGUCCGCCUUGGCUAGGCUGUGCAAGCACAGCUUCGCCAAAGACUUGCAUGUGUUAAGCAUUCUGUCAGCGUUCAUCCUGAGCCAGGAUCAAACUCU